Non-coding RNA from Vicugna pacos (alpaca), 615 nucleotides. The record is from RefSeq and is a predicted model, not a curated record. NCBI's taxonomy places the organism in Eukaryota, Metazoa, Chordata, Mammalia, Artiodactyla, Camelidae.
GCAGAUGGAGGGCAGAAGUGCUUGUGGGGACCCGGCUCACUUGUGUUGAGCCAGACGGUACUGGGGAUUGAACCCAGGACCUCUUGCAUGCUAAGCAUGUGCUCUAUCCCUGAGCCAUAUCCCUCUCCCCUAGUUUUACUUUUGAAUAUGCUGACCCUGAGGGUCUGUGUUCGGCCUCUGUCAUCUGUCACUAUCUUGCUGAGACUGGUUGCUAAGCUGGGGCUCAGAGGUUCCAGGGCAGCUCACUUCCUGCUGAGGCAACCAACAGACACUGCCCAGCAAACUGGUGUGAUUUCCUGACUCUUUGGGAAGUAUUUUGCAAGACACUUAGAUUACCUACUGUUGGAAAAAUGCAGAAGUGACUUUUAUGAAUAUAGGACUAGUACAGAUCUGUUGGUUUUUGAUAUAGUGCAAGACAUGAGGACUAGGAGAGCUUUGCUGCUGAUUGCCAGAAGGACAGAUGCCGGGUCUCAGUCUCCCCUCCUGUAAAAUGAAGAGGCUUACCUGGAUUCUUUCCACUACUGAGUUUCCAUGAGCCUAUGUCUUUUGUUUAUAUUCAGGAGUAUUUACAAUUUCAUAUUAAAUGCUGAAUACCACUCCCUUCCCUGAAGCAGA